RNAcentral lists this ribosomal RNA (253 nucleotides) under uncultured bacterium. RNAcentral's name for it is "partial 16S ribosomal RNA". It matches the Rfam family "Bacterial small subunit ribosomal RNA", at positions 524 to 776 of the family's 1533-position model. The record is from RNAcentral.
UACGUAGGGGGCAAGCGUUGUCCGGAUUCACUGGGUUUAAAGGGUGCGUAGGUGGGCAGGUAAGUCAGUGGUGAAAUCUCCGGGCUUAACUCGGAAACUGCCAUUGAUACUAUCUGUCUUGAAUACCGUGGAGGUUAGCGGAAUAUGUCAUGUAGCGGUGAAAUGCUUAGAUAUGACAUAGAACACCAAUUGCGAAGGCAGCUGGCUACACGAAUAUUGACACUGAUGCACGAAAGCGUGGGGAUCAAACAGG